UCUAAAAUUCAAGAGCAUGGACAAACUUUCUGCCCGUUGGGGCAUAAUUUCUGUUUUUCGUCCUUGUCCGUGGAGAAGCCGUCUUCCUCCUCUUGCAGAAGCUCUCCGCAUGCAGCUGCCCAUUCUCGUAUCGCACGUCUGCAUCAACUCCUCUUCCACGUCUCUGUCGAGUUAUGACUUGUGACCUAAUUUUGGUGAUGGCUGGUCAAAUUUGUCGUGGGAAAGGGAAGGCUCAAUGAGGCAGCACAUUGUUGUAGACAGGCUUUAGCAGUCGCUGUCUGCAUAUGUUGCCAGCAACCAAAACUGGUUUGAUAUCGGCAUUUCCAAUGGGUUAAACACUUGCUAGAAGAUAGAGUCUAUACAUAGGAUUGAGUUGCAACUCAUUACCAAGAGAUUGGAGUAACUUCGGAUCGAUGAAGGCCGAGAGAGCAAAGUUUGCUGGCCUUAACACUCACCUUGGGAUAGAUGUUGAUUGGAGAAAAAAGAGGGGAUAUACUAGUCUUGAUCAUACACCUGAAAGCAGCACUUAUUAUGACCAUUUCCCUGGUUGGAUGGAAGGCACAAGGUAUGUUUGCACACUGAUACUUAGACACCAAUUAAAAAACUGAGUCGACUUAAAACCAGCUGAUGGAGGUUGAGAGUUCGAUUCUGCGAUAGUCUCUUGGCAUAAUCUGGUAGCUUUAAUUUAAUUUACAUCCAAAUUUCACUUACAUCCAAGAGAUGAAUGUUAGCCCAUAUUUGAAAAAGGAA
Nymphaea colorata (pocket water lily) is the source of this 750-nucleotide long non-coding RNA. RefSeq lists it as uncharacterized. The transcript has 4 exons. NCBI's taxonomy places the organism in Eukaryota, Viridiplantae, Streptophyta, Magnoliopsida, Nymphaeales, Nymphaeaceae. The record is from RefSeq and is a predicted model, not a curated record.